GGGACGGUAACUCAGCCUGGGAGAGUGCUACGCUGAAGCCGUAGAUGUCACGAGUUCAAAUCUCGUCCGUCCCA
Molecule: transfer RNA, 74 nt
Filed under: Candidatus Woesearchaeota archaeon
Lineage: Archaea; Nanobdellati; Candidatus Woesearchaeota
Description: tRNA-Phe
Rfam family: tRNA
About the family: Transfer RNA (tRNA) molecules are approximately 80 nucleotides in length.
Source: RNAcentral